GCCGGGCUAUCUGAUGAGUUGUGUUACCUGAACUAGCUGAGCUGUCUGAGGAACUGCCUGCCGAGAACCACUAUUGUCCCUUUUUGUUCUUUGGUGAAAUCGCGGUAGAAAAUUUUCAGAGUGGAAAGCAGUGAAAGCAACAGGUCUCUUGGCAAGGAACUCAGACUCGUGGGCCCGGGAAGUACAUGCUGGCAUGGAGGGACAGAGACGCUGGGGUGCUGCCGCUGAGAGACCAGUGUGCGACGCACGGAGGCCUGAAAUCUCGAGGUUUACUCCUCAUAGGCACACAGGGGCAUCUGCGCCAAAAGGCAGAAGCUUCGCUCAAACGAUCGCUCAUACCGUCUUACUCGAGAGCUGCUUUGAGCCAGUGAAGUCCAUGUCAAGGAGUGUAGAUCAUUUCAGAUGAGAGCUGAGGAAUCCAGAUACCCAGGCCAUCCAAAAGCUGCAACCUUAGUUGCUCCCACUGUCCAAGGAAUGUUCUAGAUCUACACAAGAGCUAUACAGCCUAGUAUGAGAGCCACAACAUUAGAGCACACCACUUCCGUUGCUGCCGCCUGCCUGGGGUCUGACGCAUGUCUGCAAAUGAAGAGGGAUGCAAAAGCUGUCAAAGACCAACACCUGAAGUGAUACUCACUGGCACAUGAGCAAAAGAACAGUGUAACUGAAUUUAAUAAGAUUUAAAAUUCA
This is a non-coding RNA of Cricetulus griseus (Chinese hamster), 687 nucleotides long. Lineage: Eukaryota; Metazoa; Chordata; Mammalia; Rodentia; Cricetidae. The record is from RefSeq and is a predicted model, not a curated record.